GGCGACCCCAGGUCAGGCGGGAUAA
RNAcentral lists this ribosomal RNA (25 nucleotides) under Calceolaria purpurascens. RNAcentral's name for it is "partial 28S ribosomal RNA". The record is from RNAcentral. Lineage: Eukaryota; Viridiplantae; Streptophyta; Magnoliopsida; Lamiales; Calceolariaceae.